This 255-nucleotide ribosomal RNA is filed under the name uncultured prokaryote. RNAcentral describes it as "partial 16S ribosomal RNA". It matches the Rfam family "Bacterial small subunit ribosomal RNA", at positions 523 to 777 of the family's 1533-position model. The record is from RNAcentral.
AGACGAACCGUGCGAACGUUGUUCGGAAUCACUGGGCUUAAAGGGCGCGUAGGCGGGCUGCCAAGUCCGGGGUGAAAGCUUUCGGCUUAACCGGAAAAGUGCCUUGGAUACUGGCAGUCUCGAGCGAGGUAGGGGCAUGUGGAACUUCCGGUGGAGCGGUGAAAUGCGUUGAUAUCGGAAGGAACGCCGGUGGCGAAAGCGACGUGCUGGACCUCUUCUGACGCUGAGGCGCGAAAGCCAGGGGAGCGAACGGGA